RNAcentral lists this transfer RNA (73 nucleotides) under Lachnospiraceae bacterium. RNAcentral's name for it is "tRNA-Arg". It matches the Rfam family "tRNA". Rfam says of the family: Transfer RNA (tRNA) molecules are approximately 80 nucleotides in length. Their secondary structure includes four short double-helical elements and three loops (D, anti-codon, and T loops). Further hydrogen bonds mediate the characteristic L-shaped molecular structure. tRNAs have two regions of fundamental functional importance: the anti-codon, which is responsible for specific mRNA codon recognition, and the 3' end, to which the tRNAs corresponding amino acid is attached (by aminoacyl-tRNA synthetases). tRNAs cope with the degeneracy of the genetic code in two manners: having more than one tRNA (with a specific anti-codon) for a particular amino acid; and 'wobble' base-pairing, i.e. permitting non-standard base-pairing at the 3rd anti-codon position. Lineage: Bacteria; Bacillati; Bacillota; Clostridia; Lachnospirales; Lachnospiraceae. The record is from RNAcentral.
GCACCCGUAGCGAAGUGGAUAACGCGCAGUCUUCCGAAGUCUGAGAUCACAGGUUCGAAUCCUGCCGGGUGCG